AACGAGUCGGUCCAUUUUGUCGCUAUGGCCUCAAUGGACCAAAGAAUUAUUUUGUCGCUUUGGCCUCAAUAAUUCUGCUAUCUUGUCGCUUUGGCCUUGAUAGACUUGGAGAUCAUUUUGUCGCUUUGGCCUUAAUGAUCUCGACCCACUUUGUCGCUUUGGCCUUAGUGGGGUAACCGUCGUUGCGGACGUAAAGUCGCUCUUGAUCAGGGUGGACUAUAAACAUGGGUUCUGAUAGUGAACCAGAUCCUGUCGCUUUGGCCAGGAUCCACGCAUUCUGUCGCUUGGGCC
This 291-nucleotide long non-coding RNA is filed under the name Zostera marina. RNAcentral describes it as "long non-coding RNA (ZMAR_LNC005061)". Lineage: Eukaryota; Viridiplantae; Streptophyta; Magnoliopsida; Alismatales; Zosteraceae. The record is from RNAcentral.